GAGCGAAUCAAUUGGGAGCUUGCUCCCUUUUGGUUAGCGGCGGACGGGUGAGUAACACGUGGGCAACCUGCCUGUAAGACUGGGAUAACUUCGGGAAACCGGAGCUAAUACCGGAUAAUCUUUUUCAACUCAUGUUGGAAUACUGAAAGUCGGUUUCGGCUGACACUUACAGAUGGGCCCGCGGCGCAUUAGCUAGUUGGUGAGGUAACGGCUCACCAAGGCGACGAUGCGUAGCCGACCUGAGAGGGUGAUCGGCCACACUGGGACUGAGACACGGCCCAGACUCCUACGGGAGGCAGCAGUAGGGAAUCUUCCACAAUGGACGAAAGUCUGAUGGAGCAACGCCGCGUGAGCGAUGAAGGCCUUCGGGUCGUAAAACUCUGUUGUUAGGGAAGAACAAGUACCGUUCGAAUAGGGCGGUACCUUGACGGUACCUAACCAGAAAGCCACGGCUAACUACGUGCCAGCAGCCGCGGUAAU
RNAcentral lists this ribosomal RNA (480 nucleotides) under uncultured bacterium. RNAcentral's name for it is "bacterial SSU rRNA". It matches the Rfam family "Bacterial small subunit ribosomal RNA", at positions 64 to 524 of the family's 1533-position model. The record is from RNAcentral.